ACGGAGGGGGCUAGCGUUGUUCGGAAUUACUGGGCGUAAAGGGCGCGUAGGCGGUUUGGUAAGUUAGGCGUGAAAGGCCCGGGCUCAACCCGGGAACUGCGCUUAAGACUGCCGGGCUGUGAGUCCGGGAGAGGAUGGCGGAAUUCCCAGUGUAGAGGUGAAAUUCGUAGAUAUUGGGAAGAACACCAGUGGCGAAGGCGACACCCUGGGCCGUACCUGACGCUAAGACGCGACAGCACGGGGAGCGAACGG
RNAcentral lists this ribosomal RNA (252 nucleotides) under uncultured prokaryote. RNAcentral's name for it is "partial 16S ribosomal RNA". It matches the Rfam family "Bacterial small subunit ribosomal RNA", at positions 525 to 775 of the family's 1533-position model. The record is from RNAcentral.